UACGUAGGGUGGAAGCGUUAAUCGGAAUUACUGGGCGUAAAGCGUACGCAGGCGGCUUUGCAAGACAGGUGUGAAAUCCCCGGGCCUAACCUGGGAACUGCAUUUGUGACUGCAUGGCUAGAGUUUGUCAGAGGGGGGUGGAAUUCCACGUGUAGCAGUGAAAUGCGUAGAUAUGUGGAGGAACACCGAUGGCGAAGGCAGCCCCCUGGGAUGUGACUGACGCUCAUGUACGACAGCAUGGGGAGCAAACAGG
This 253-nucleotide ribosomal RNA is filed under the name uncultured bacterium. RNAcentral's name for it is "partial 16S ribosomal RNA". It matches the Rfam family "Bacterial small subunit ribosomal RNA", at positions 524 to 776 of the family's 1533-position model. The record is from RNAcentral.